This 253-nucleotide ribosomal RNA is filed under the name uncultured bacterium. Its description in RNAcentral is "partial 16S ribosomal RNA". It matches the Rfam family "Bacterial small subunit ribosomal RNA", at positions 524 to 776 of the family's 1533-position model. The record is from RNAcentral.
UACGUAGGGUGCGAGCGUUAAUCGGAAUUACUGGGCGUAAAGUGUGCGCAGGCGGCAGAGCAAGUCGAGUGUGAAAGCCCCGGGCUUAACUUGGGAAUUGCGCUCGAAACUACUUUGCUGGAGUGUGGCAGAGGAAGGUGGAACUCCACGUGUAGCGGUGAAAUGCGUAGAGAUGUGGAGGAACACCAAUGGCGAAGGCAGCCUUCUGGGCCAACACUGACGCUCAUGCACGAAAGCGUGGGGAGCAAACAGG